UGAUAGAUUCCUGUCGUGCUUGCUGU
Molecule: non-coding RNA, 26 nt
Filed under: Homo sapiens (human)
Lineage: Eukaryota; Metazoa; Chordata; Mammalia; Primates; Hominidae
Source: RNAcentral